This 611-nucleotide ribosomal RNA is filed under the name uncultured Acetobacterium sp. Its description in RNAcentral is "bacterial SSU rRNA". It matches the Rfam family "Bacterial small subunit ribosomal RNA", at positions 44 to 656 of the family's 1533-position model. The record is from RNAcentral. Lineage: Bacteria; Bacillati; Bacillota; Clostridia; Eubacteriales; Eubacteriaceae.
AUGCUUACCAUGCAAGUCGAACGAGACGGGAUGGAAUGACCCUUCGGGGGAAUGAAAUCCUAGAAAGUGGCGAACGGGUGAGUAACGCGUGGGUAACCUGCCCUAUGGAAAGGAAUAGCCUCGGGAAACUGGGAGUAAUGCCUUAUAAUAUACGAGAGUCGCAUGGCUUUUGUAUUAAACGCUCCGGUGCCAUAGGAUGGACCCGCGUCCCAUUAGCUAGUUGGUGAGAUAACAGCCCGCCAAGGCAACGAUGGGUAACCGGUCUGAGAGGGCGAACGGUCACACUGGAACUGAGACACGGUCCAGACUCCUACGGGAGGCAGCAGUGGGGAAUAUUGCGCAAUGGGGGCAACCCUGACGCAGCAAUACCGCGUGAGUGAAGAAGGUUUUCGGAUCGUAAAGCUCUGUUAUUGGGGAAGAAAAAGGACGGUACCCAAGAAGAAAGUCCCGGCUAACUACGUGCCAGCAGCCGCGGUAAUACGUAGGGGACAAGCGUUGUCCGGAUUUACUGGGCGUAAAGGGCACGCAGGCGGUUUUUUAAGUCAGAUGUGAAAGGUACCGGCUCAACCGGUGACAUGCAUUUGAAACUGAAAGACUUGAGUAUUGGAGAG